This 427-nucleotide ribosomal RNA is filed under the name Streptococcus gordonii. RNAcentral's name for it is "bacterial SSU rRNA". It matches the Rfam family "Bacterial small subunit ribosomal RNA", at positions 28 to 435 of the family's 1533-position model. The record is from RNAcentral. Lineage: Bacteria; Bacillati; Bacillota; Bacilli; Lactobacillales; Streptococcaceae.
GACGAACGCUGGCGGCGUGCCUAAUACAUGCAAGUAGAACGCACAGUUUAUACCGUAGCUUGCUACACCAUAGACUGUGAGUUGCGAACGGGUGAGUAACGCGUAGGUAACCUGCCUGGUAGCGGGGGAUAACUAUUGGAAACGAUAGCUAAUACCGCAUAAUAUUAAUUAUUGCAUGAUAAUUGAUUGAAAGAUGCAACUGCAUCACUACCAGAUGGACCUGCGUUGUAUUAGCUAGUAGGUGAGGUAACGGCUCACCUAGGCGACGAUACAUAGCCGACCUGAGAGGGUGAUCGGCCACACUGGGACUGAGACACGGCCCAGACUCCUACGGGAGGCAGCAGUAGGGAAUCUUCGGCAAUGGACGAAAGUCUGACCGAGCAACGCCGCGUGAGUGAAGAAAGGUUUUCGGAUCGUAAAAGCUCUG